CAGGCAAUACUUUGAGUGACAUCAGUUUUCAAUUAAAUUUGACGCUGACCGUUAAAGCUGGUUUAUUUGAUUUUGGAACAUAUAUAGUAAGCAUUGGUAAGUAAAUAUAUUUUUUCAGAUAUGAAAGCACUCAAGGUAGAUCUUCUGCCUUUUUGGAUUGUAAAAUAGCAGAAUAGGGUUUGUCUAGAAUUUGAUAUAACAAACAUUGUGUGAGUAUUGCAUGGCAAUACAUACAUUGUAGUCCACUUCUGGUUAAAAAUUCAAUUUUUGGAACAAAAUUCUAAUUUGAGCUAAAACAUCAAACAUGAUGUAAAAGAGGGGCAAAAGAUACCAGAUGAACUCAUAAAUUGAAAAAUAAACUGACAACUAUAUGUACACUAUAUUAAACAAAUAUCAAAUCAAUAUCUUCUAGCAAGACGAAAAAAAAUUUGUUGAAAACUGAUUAUUUCAGUAUAUUUUCUUUAGUCCAAGCACCAUAACUCUGCACAAAAUCAUCAGACUAGAACAAAAUCUGCAACUUGUCAUGAUAAAACUAUAAACCAAUUAUCAAAUCAAUAUCUUUAAGCAUAACAAAAAAAAAAGGUGAAAAACUGAUUAUCUUAGCAAAUAUUUAAGGACCAUAAUUUUGUCCUGAAAAAUAUGAAAUUACAUUGAGUAAUGCAGGCGAGAUACACCAGCGUGUGUGCUCUUGUUUAAUACAGUAAUUGUUAUGAUUUUGUGUUAAAAUAAUUCGGAAUAAGCCAUUGAACUAAAGCCAGGAAUACAAUAUAUUUGUUUUUAUCUCAAUUUAUGUUAAGGCUAUGUAAUAAAAGAUUUGGUUUAUACAUCAAUGUAAAAAAUGAUAAACAUGUUAUGUUGUUGUUAACACUGCUACAUGUUUUAAUACUAUUUACAGGUAUUUCAUCAGUUUGUGUUGUUGGAGUGGCAAAGGCUCUUGACUAUAUUUUGACUACAUUUGAAGCUGAAAGUAAAGCUGGUUACCUUCAUUUUGUAACAUAUAGUUAACAUUGUG
RNAcentral lists this long non-coding RNA (1012 nucleotides) under Mytilus galloprovincialis (Mediterranean mussel). The record is from RNAcentral. Lineage: Eukaryota; Metazoa; Mollusca; Bivalvia; Mytilida; Mytilidae.